Molecule: long non-coding RNA, 924 nt
Filed under: Pan troglodytes (chimpanzee)
Lineage: Eukaryota; Metazoa; Chordata; Mammalia; Primates; Hominidae
Description: long non-coding RNA NONPTRT013292
Source: RNAcentral
UUGAGUAUUUUUUAUCCCUCUGUUCCAUCCAGUUCUUCUUUUUAUUAUUAAGGGAUGCAGUGAUGUGAACUCUAGCCUUACAGCUGAUAUCAAAGAAGGAACUCUAAUUGGAUAAAAGAAACUAACUCAAAGGGUCGUGAGAUGGGAUAAAUUAGUUCACUGUUAUAUGAAGAGAUGAAUCUUCAAAUAACAUACUCUUUAGACUCUUUAGACAAACAUCUCAGUCAGCUGGUUAACAUUUAAUUCCUUGACUGAUGUCAUGAAAUCUGAGUCUGUCAAUUGUGAUGAUAUCUGUGCUUUCUUGGCCUAACUAGUUUACCAUUAAACACGUCUAUUGCUAAAGCAGGGUCACAGCUGUUCUGCUAAAAUGUCAACACGGUUUCUUCUAAUUGGAAACGCACUUGCCUGUGCAAAUACUCUAAAAAUCCUAAAACUAUUUGGCCAUAAUUUUUAGACAAUUAUCUAAAAUAAAUGUUUUUUUAAUUUCAUUAUUGCUAUUUUUGUUAUAGAGGCAAAUUCCAUUAUCUUUGAUGAUGUUGUUUCUGAAAUGUCUCUUUUAGGCAAAGUCAUAGAUAAUACACUUUAAAAUGAUUUUCUAGUUUUCUUCACAGUCUAUCUCUUAUUUCUCUUAUUCAUAUAUGUUCUUUAUAUUUUACACUAAAUAAUUGUCAAAAACUGACACUUAGAAUCAAUUCAAUUAAUUACAAUUAAUGGUUGUAAUUCUCUACAAUUCUUUUUUCUAACAAAAUUCUGAAACAAAGGAAAGUUAAUCAGGAGUCAGGCCGAAGGACUCAGGCAGAUGGAGAGUAAAAUGCUAGUGAGGUUUUUUGUUGUCGUUGUUUUGACACAACUGUUUUAAAACACGGCCUGGGUGUGUAGCAAAAAUGGGUUUGCAAAUGCUAAACAUUAGAAUAAUUUUUAGCA